UUUAAAUGUAAAGUUGAGAUUAAAUGAUUAAUAGUUAUGUUCUUUAAAGUUAAAUAAUUUGGCAGUAUUUUAAUCUAUUCAGAGGAACCUGUUCUGUAAUUGAUAUUCCACGAUUUUAGUUACUUUAGUUAGAAAUUUACAUAUCGUUGUUAUUAACAUUUUUUUAGAAAUUUAAUGUUAAAAAUUUUUUAUUAAGAAAAUAAAUCAAAUCAAGGUGUAGUUUAUAUUAAAGAAGAAAUGGGUUACAAUAAAAAAAUUUUUGAAUUUAAAGUUUUAGAUUUUAAUAAAAUUGGAUUUGAAAGUAAUUAAUUUUAGAUUUUAUUAAUGAUUAAGCUCUAAAAUAUGU
Molecule: ribosomal RNA, 346 nt
Filed under: Cephaloscymnus sp. AGNM07
Lineage: Eukaryota; Metazoa; Arthropoda; Insecta; Coleoptera; Coccinellidae
Description: partial 12S ribosomal RNA
Source: RNAcentral